This 498-nucleotide unclassified non-coding RNA is filed under the name uncultured Glomus. RNAcentral describes it as "SSU rRNA". It matches the Rfam family "Eukaryotic small subunit ribosomal RNA", at positions 591 to 1092 of the family's 1831-position model. Lineage: Eukaryota; Fungi; Glomeromycota; Glomeromycetes; Glomerales; Glomeraceae. The record is from RNAcentral.
CCAAUAGCGUAUAUUAAAGUUGUUGCAGUUAAAAAGCUCGUAGUUGAAUUUCGGGAUUAGUACGUUGGUCGUGCCUUGGUACGUACUGGUGUAACUGAUUCCUCCCUUCUGACGAACCGUUAUGCCAUUAAUUUGGUGUGGCGGGAAAUCAGGACUGUUACUUUGAAAAAAUUAGAGUGUUUAAAGCAGGCUCGCGCUGGAAUACAUUAGCAUGGAAUAAUGAAAUAGGACGUUAAUCCUAUUUUGUUGGUUUCUAGGAUCGACGUAAUGAUUAAUAGGGAUAGUUGGGGGCAUUAGUAUUCAAUUGUCAGAGGUGAAAUUCUUGGAUUUAUUGAAGACUAACUACUGCGAAAGCAUUUGCCAAGGAUGUUUUCAUUAAUCAAGAACGAAAGUUAGGGGAUCGAAGACGAUCAGAUACCGUCGUAGUCUUAACCAUAAACUAUGCCGACUAGGGAUCGGAUGAUGUUAAUUUUUUAAUGACUCAUUCGGCGCCUUACG